AAAGUUGUUGCAGUUAAAAAGCUCGUAGUUGGAUUUCGGGACGGCACGGUCGGUCCGCCGCAAGGUGUGUCACUGGCCGGGCUGUUCUUCCUCGCAAAGACUGCGUGUGCUCUUAGCUGAGUGUGCGCAGGACUUGCGACGUUUACUUUGAAAAAAUUAGAGUGUUCAAAGCAGGCCAUCGCUUGAAUACAUAAGCAUGGAAUAAUGGAAUAGGACUUUGGUUCUAUUUUGUUGGUUUCUGGAACCGAAGUAAUGAUUAAGAGGGACAGUUGGGGGCAUUCGUAUUUCGUUGUCAGAGGUGAAAUUCUUGGAUUUACGAAAGACGAACUACCGCGAAAGCAUUUGCCAAGAAUGUUUUCAUUAAUCAAGAACGAAAGUUAGAGGAUCGAAGACGAUCAGAUACCGUCCUAGUUCUAACCAUAAACGAUGCCGACUAGGGAUCAGAGAGUGUUAUUGGAUGACCUCUUUGGCACCUUAUGGGAAACCAAAGUUUUUGGGUUCCG
This 503-nucleotide ribosomal RNA is filed under the name Nematostella vectensis (starlet sea anemone). Its description in RNAcentral is "Eukaryotic small subunit ribosomal RNA". It matches the Rfam family "Eukaryotic small subunit ribosomal RNA", at positions 606 to 1116 of the family's 1831-position model. Lineage: Eukaryota; Metazoa; Cnidaria; Anthozoa; Actiniaria; Edwardsiidae. The record is from Rfam by way of RNAcentral.